This 369-nucleotide ribosomal RNA is filed under the name uncultured beta proteobacterium. RNAcentral describes it as "bacterial SSU rRNA". It matches the Rfam family "Bacterial small subunit ribosomal RNA", at positions 547 to 916 of the family's 1533-position model. Lineage: Bacteria; Pseudomonadati; Pseudomonadota; Betaproteobacteria. The record is from RNAcentral.
GGAAUUACUGGGCGUAAAGCGUGCGCAGGCGGUUGUGCAAGACAGAUGUGAAAUCCCCGGGCUCAACCUGGGAAUUGCAUUUGUGACUGCACAGCUAGAGUGUGUCAGAGGGGGGUAGAAUUCCACGUGUAGCAGUGAAAUGCGUAGAUAUGUGGAGGAAUACCGAUGGCGAAGGCAGCCCCCUGGGAUAACACUGACGCUCAUGCACGAAAGCGUGGGGAGCAAACAGGAUUAGAUACCCUGGUAGUCCACGCCCUAAACGAUGUCUACUAGUUGUCGGGUCUUAAUUGACUUGGUAACGCAGCUAACGCGUGAAGUAGACCGCCUGGGGAGUACGGUCGCAAGAUUAAAACUCAAAGGAAUUGACGG